AUCGCUUCUCGGCCUUUUGGCUAAGAUCACAUGUAGUAUCUAUUCUUAUCAGUUUAAUAUCUGAUACGUCUGCUAUCCGAGGACAAUAUAUUAAAUGGAUUUUUGGAGCUUGGAGUUGAAAUAGGAGCUUACUCCGUCGACUCCACGCAUCCACCUGGUAUUGCAGUACUUCCAGGAAUGGUGCACCCCUC
Molecule: small nuclear RNA, 191 nt
Organism: Jaculus jaculus (lesser Egyptian jerboa)
Lineage: Eukaryota; Metazoa; Chordata; Mammalia; Rodentia; Dipodidae
Gene: U2
Rfam family: U2 spliceosomal RNA
About the family: U2 is a small nuclear RNA (snRNA) component of the spliceosome (involved in pre-mRNA splicing).
Source: Ensembl